RNAcentral lists this long non-coding RNA (1035 nucleotides) under Equus caballus (horse). Its description in RNAcentral is "lncRNA (ENSECAG00000051523.1)". The record is from RNAcentral. Lineage: Eukaryota; Metazoa; Chordata; Mammalia; Perissodactyla; Equidae.
GAACUUUAUUUUCUAUUUUGGCUGAAAAAGGCUACUGUUUGCAUGGUUACUUGCUUAAUAUUAGAAAUCAAGUAGAAACAGUGCUGGUGACCGAGAAGUGAAUGGGCAUGCUCAAAAAUGACUGGUGGCGCAACCAUUGACAUAAACCUUUAAAAAAGCAAAUCCGGCCAGCCAAAGAACCUAGAAGGAAAGGAGGAGAAAGUCUUCUACUCCUGCAGCAGCUUUCCAAGAUCCCACAGAUGGAAGAUAGUAGAGUCAGGUCUUCAACCCAGGGAAUCUAACAUCAGUGUUUGAACACAAAAUCACUAAAUCUCAAUGAUGUGGAUCAAGGCUGCCCCAGGGAGGGAAGCCCAGGGCAUCCUCGGCUACGUGCAGAUCUAUGUGACCCGAUUCAUAUCUAAAGUUAUACGACCACACAAUAACCAGACCCUCACCUGCACUGAUACCAUUUUAAUGACUUUUCACAUCAUCUUUCCUUUAUCUAUUAAAAGUCACUCUUUAGUCGCAAAAAAAGAGAAAAUAUUGACUUUCAUCCUCAUAUUUAGUUGGUGUAUCAAGAAUCACAGGACUUUCUGAUACCAGCGUCAAUGUGGUCAUCUAUCUGGAAGUGUUCCUCCCUCAUUCUCUUUCAACAAGGAUCUUUGGUAUUUGUUUAGCAGUGUGGCGAUAGAAAUCUUCAGGACAUACGGAAGAAAUGGUGAUAGUUUGCUUACAAAAACCAAAUGGAGAGAAUUAACUAUGGAGAAAGCUCAAGACUCUCCUCUUUUAAUUGACUCUCCCUUCUACAAGGAGGAAUUCUAUCCAAGGACAAAAUAAUACUUGUGAAUGAUUCUAAAAGUCCUGAUGAAGAGGAAGAGGAGCUUGCCUGAAGAUGAGCAGAACAAUUUGUGGUCUAGAAGAAAAAUAAUGACUGCUUGAAUGAAGGCAAUGGAAAUUAAGAUGGUGAGGAAGAUACAGCUUUGAGAAUAUAAUGAGAGUAAAAUCAUCAAGACUUAUUGAUUGCAGUAUGGGAAAGUAAUAGCCAGGCAACAAGGG